UACGUAGGGGGCGAGCGUUGUCCGGAUUUAUUGGGCGUAAAGCGCGCGUAGGCGGUUAUCCACGUCGGAUGUGAAAGCUCAGAGCUCAACUCAGAGAGGCCAUUCGAUACGGGAUAGCUAGAGGCAGCUAGGGGAGAGUGGAAUUCCUGGUGUAGCGGUGAAAUGCGCAGAUAUCAGGAGGAACACCAAUUGCGAAGGCAGCUCGCUGGGACGGUACUGACGCUGAGACGCGAAAGCGUGGGGAGCGAACAGGAUUAGAAACCCUGUAGU
This 270-nucleotide ribosomal RNA is filed under the name uncultured bacterium. RNAcentral describes it as "partial 16S ribosomal RNA". It matches the Rfam family "Bacterial small subunit ribosomal RNA", at positions 524 to 794 of the family's 1533-position model. The record is from RNAcentral.